GAUGAACGCUGGCGGUGUGCCUAACACAUGCAAGUCGAGCGAACAGACGAGGAGCUCGCGCCCCUGACGUUAGCGGCUGACGGGCGGGUAACACGUGCAUAACCAACUUCUUAGUCUGGGAUAAUUACGGGAAACCGGUGCCAAUAAUGGAGAAUAUAACGUACCGGUGGAAGCAGGAGAUAUUGACGGUUUGGCUGUUUGUAAGAGAUGAUUCCGGGCCGCAUUAGCUAGUUGGUAAGGUAACGGCCUACCAAGGCGACGAUGCGUAGCUGACCUGAGAGGGUGAUCGGCCACACUGGAACUGAGACACGGUCCAGACUCCUACGGGAGGCAGCAGUGGGGAAUAUUCGACAAUGGGCGAAAGCCUGACGGAGCCAUACCGCGUGAGUGAAGAAGGUCUUCGGGUCGUAAAGCUCUGUUAUUGGGAAAGAACAGAAGUGUGAGAAACUCUGCACGUCUUGACGGUACCUAAUGAAUAAGCCCCGGCUAACUACGUG
RNAcentral lists this ribosomal RNA (497 nucleotides) under uncultured bacterium. RNAcentral describes it as "partial 16S ribosomal RNA". It matches the Rfam family "Bacterial small subunit ribosomal RNA", at positions 28 to 507 of the family's 1533-position model. The record is from RNAcentral.